This 69-nucleotide transfer RNA is filed under the name Nocomis biguttatus (hornyhead chub). RNAcentral describes it as "tRNA-Glu". It matches the Rfam family "tRNA". From Rfam's summary of the family: Transfer RNA (tRNA) molecules are approximately 80 nucleotides in length. The record is from RNAcentral. Lineage: Eukaryota; Metazoa; Chordata; Actinopteri; Cypriniformes; Leuciscidae.
GUUCCAGUAGUUGAAUUACAACGGUGUUUCUUCAAGUCAUAGGUCUCGGUUAAAAUCCGAGCUGGAAUU